ACUCAAAUGAAUUGACGGGGGCCCGCACAAGCGGUGGAGUAUGUGGUUUAAUUCGACGCAACGCGAAGAACCUUACCAGGGCUCAAACUGCAGGGUAAACCUCUCGAAAGGGAGGCUGCUUCGGCGAUCCUGUAGAGGUGCUGCAUGGCUGUCGUCAGCUCGUGUCGUGAGAUGUUGGGUUAAGUCCCGCAACGAGCGCAACCCUUGUUCUUAGUUACCAGCGCGUAAUGGCGGGGACUCUAAGAAGACUGCCGUCGCAAGACGGAGGAAGGUGGGGAUGACGUCAAGUCCUCAUGGCCCUUAUGUCCUGGGCUACACACGUACUACAAUGGGCGGUACAACGAGUCGCGAGGCCGCGAGGUCAAGCUAAUCUCUUAAAGCCGCCCCCAGUUCAGAUUGCAGUCUGCAACCCGACUGCAUGAAGUCGGAAUCGCUAGUAAUCGCAGAUCAGCACGCUGCGGUGAAUACGUUCCCGGGCCUUGUACACACCGCCCGU
RNAcentral lists this ribosomal RNA (496 nucleotides) under uncultured bacterium. RNAcentral's name for it is "partial 16S ribosomal RNA". It matches the Rfam family "Bacterial small subunit ribosomal RNA", at positions 899 to 1397 of the family's 1533-position model. The record is from RNAcentral.